GUGCUUGCUUUGACAGCUCAUAUGCUAAAAUUGGAAUGAUACAGAGAAGAUUAGCAUGGCCCCUGUAUAAGGAUGACACACAAAUUCAUGGAAGCAUUCCAUAUUAAG
Ictidomys tridecemlineatus (thirteen-lined ground squirrel) is the source of this 108-nucleotide small nuclear RNA. NCBI's taxonomy places the organism in Eukaryota, Metazoa, Chordata, Mammalia, Rodentia, Sciuridae. The record is from Ensembl.